Molecule: small nucleolar RNA, 138 nt
Filed under: Carlito syrichta (Philippine tarsier)
Lineage: Eukaryota; Metazoa; Chordata; Mammalia; Primates; Tarsiidae
Description: Small nucleolar RNA SNORA8 (ENSTSYG00000023384.2)
Rfam family: Small nucleolar RNA SNORA8
About the family: ACA8 is a member of the H/ACA class of snoRNA that guide the sites of modification of uridines to pseudouridines.
Source: Rfam by way of RNAcentral
UGCUUCUAGCAUGUACUUCUAAUGUGCAGUUCCGGAGAAAAGAAAAAUAAGAGUCAAGGCUACAGAAAUCCAAUAUCUGUCAUCUUGGUGUUUUUGGCUUUGUGCAUGUUUAAACUUGGUAUUUCUAUUGAUACAGUA